CAUGAUUAUAGGGCCCUAAAAGCCCAAUAAGAUAAAAUUUUGCUACAAACCCUCAUAACCAAAACUCGAGACACAAGCAUCCGUAUCCAACCACAGAGGAGCCCUAGAUCUAAAUAGGUUGUGACCUGAAGCCUCAUCUUCAAUCACUGGAGCAAAGAGGACUCCAUCUUCCUCAACAAAGAAUUGUUAGCUACUGAAGGGAAAGCUGCAUAAAAAUAAAGGGAAACUGAAUAGCAACAAGGGAAGAAUAAGCAUCCCUUCUUUAACCAGCUGAUCUUUUCAGAACAAUAACUUUCUCCCCAGAGGAAAAGGGAAACAUGAGAUUUAUACAACAAACACAAUAUUACCCAGGGCUAGGAACCAGUGUUGGAAUAAAUCCGGAAAUGACUUGGCACGAUACGAGUAUCUCAUUCUCGUUUAGCCAAGACGGAAAUGGAGUUGGCGACUAAGCAACACUAAUACCGCCGUAAAUGCUAGCCCACACGGAAAACCCCUAAAGUUAAAAACUAAACAGUUGAGCCGAUAUAAGUAGUGAAUUAAAUCCUCACAUUGAAGCACAUAACCAGCAGACCAAUAAAACAAAACUCCAUUUACACACCAAAAAGAAAGGGGUGAGAGAGGAGCCACCCUUUGGUUAGAUGGAAGGACCGUCCCCUGCCAAAAGGUAGGGAUAGCUACUGAACAAAGAGAGAAGCCCAAAAACUCUAAAAAGAAAGAGGAUGAAACUCCCUCAUUAAAAAGAGAGACAAG
RNAcentral lists this unclassified non-coding RNA (750 nucleotides) under Hevea brasiliensis (rubber tree). The record is from RNAcentral. Lineage: Eukaryota; Viridiplantae; Streptophyta; Magnoliopsida; Malpighiales; Euphorbiaceae.